CCUACGGGUGGCAGCAGUGAGGAAUAUUGGUCAAUGGGCUUACGCCUGAACCAGCCAAGUCGCGUGAGGGAAGACUGCCCUAUGGGUUGUAAACCUCUUUUGUCAGGGAGCAAUUGGCGCUACGUGUAGCGUUAUCGAGAGUACCUGAAGAAAAAGCAUCGGCUAACUCCGUGCCAGCAGCCGCGGUAAUACGGAGGAUGCGAGCGUUAUCCGGAUUUAUUGGGUUUAAAGGGUGCGUAGGCGGAAUGCCAAGUCAGCGGUGAAAGUUUGUGGCUCAACCAUAAAAUUGCCGUUGAAACUGGUUGACUUGAGUAUAUUUGAGGUAGGCGGAAUGCGUGGUGUAGCGGUGAAAUGCAUAGAUAGCACGCAGAACUCCGAUUGCGAAGGCAGCUUACUAAACUAUAACUGACACUGAAGCACGAAAGCGUGGGGAUCAAACAGGAUUAGAUACCCUUGUAGUC
RNAcentral lists this ribosomal RNA (461 nucleotides) under uncultured bacterium. RNAcentral describes it as "partial 16S ribosomal RNA". It matches the Rfam family "Bacterial small subunit ribosomal RNA", at positions 338 to 795 of the family's 1533-position model. The record is from RNAcentral.